CAGGAGUUGACCUUGCAAUUCCCACCAGCAAAACAUUCAUGGCGGAAGCUUACAUCGGAGUUGGCGGAAAGUUCAUAGCAAAUGAAUAUAUAUAUAUAUAUAUAUAUAUUUCAAUUGUUUCUCAAAAUAAUCGAAUCCCCCCUAAACUUUUCUUUAUUUUUCAGCCCACGCUGAACCAAAACUAUCGAAUUAUUGAUCGUGUCAUAAAGACAUUUAUGUCCACGCACCGAUCGUCCCCACCCCCCCGGAUGAAUAUGUGCUUCUCAAUCGAUUUCCAUUAACGGAAAGAUUUCGAAGUCCAAGCUUUUCAUAUCAAGUUUCUGUCUUCCUCAAAGUUCCUGAACUUCGAAAUGACAAAUCUGUAGCUGGGUAGCUACCUCUCCCUGACAAAGCAGUUCUUUGUCCGCUGUUCAACAGAAUUUUGCUUCCCGUUGACCAACCAGUCGAGAAUGGAUUUGCAGAAUCAUCCGUCUGGAAGCUAUACAUGGAGGAUCAACAACUACUCCUCGUUGACUCAGAAGAAGUACUACUCUGAUGUCUUCACCGUUGGCGGUUGUCAAUGGACGAUACUGAUUUUUCCCAAAGGGGUUAAGUUGGAUCAUUUCGCGAUUUACUUGGCCGUUCCGGAUGCUGCAACUUUGCCAACAGGAUGGAGCAGAGAGGCAUACUUCACCUUGACCAUGAUCAAUCAGAACGAUGGAAGCUUUUCCACCAGAAAAGAAACCGUCUACGUGUUCAAGGCACGGGAAGCUAGUUGGGGAUAUGCAUCAUUUACGUCGUCAAUGACACUGUCAUUGUCAAAGCUGAGGUCGAUGUGCUUGCUGUUGUUCCUCCGGUUGUUGUCCCUGAGGCUGCUCCUCGUCCCGUUCCUUACAUGGCCACAUCAGUCGUCAACUCUCACCAAGUCGCAGAGACAAAUAACCAACCUAAUGCAGUCCCAUCAGUUGUUGCUGUCAAUGCACGUCCAGUCAUGGAGACGAACCAUUUUGACUCUUUCUUUACCGAGCUUGAGGAGUUCAUUGUUAUCACUGAGAACAAAGAAGGAUCGAGCUCAAAUAAUGAUAGUAACAUUCAAAUGUGUGAUAUGAUGUCUGGUUCUCCAAGCUCGGAAGAGGUGGAGGAGGCUAAGCAGUCCUUGAAGGAAUGCCUCUCGGACCUCUUCAAGUUGAACAUGAAAGAUAGACUAGCCGCUGCUCUGUCGACUUUGACACGUGCCGAAGUCGGCCUCUCAUGUGAUCAGCAGAGAUCGAUCAGAGCCUUCUGGGACAACUUUGAUGAUUUCAUAUCUGAUUUCCUGAUGUUCGAGCAGGACAACUCUGAGUUUGAGCUGCAGAAGCUCACGAGAGAUCAGAUGUUCUCUGCCAUGAAGAAGAACCAUGAGGCGCACCUAUCAAACAAACAGCUAUUGGAGGCGAUCACUGAGGAGGAAGAAGAGAUCGGGAAGAGAUUGGAGGAAGUGAAUUCAAGGAAGGAGAAGCUCAUCUCGGACUGGGAGAGUCUGAUGACCAAGUCCGAGGAAAUGAAGUCCAAAUACACAUCUCAAGAGAAGAAGUUAGCAGAGGCUGAGGAGAAGAAGAGGAUCGCUGAGGAAAGGAUGUCCCGAUCCGCCGCUGCUUGGUCUUCCCUGAAGGCACAAUUCCUUGAGAUUAAAGUUCGAUCCCAAGUGACACAUCUGAGCAUCAAGAUGAGAUGUCUUUUGUUCAAAUGAGUCAGAAAGCUCUGGUUGAAAGCGAGGAAGGAACUCAAUGUUCUGAUGUUCCUUUACCUAUGGAAUAUUAAUCACCAGAUUGUUCACUUCCGAUCCUUGGAAAGACCAAAUAAGGAAGAAUUUGUUCUCGAGUUGUCGAAGCUACAUGCUACGUUGAAGUGGUGGCAGAGUGGCUCAUCAAAUCGGUUUAGAUGAUCCAACCAAAAUUCAACUAACGUCUCACAACUGCUACUCUCAACAGCCAAAGCCACGACCAAUCAAGUACGGCGGCGUGCAGACCUUGGUAGACAUGCUGGUUCAUCAUAACCAGACUUCAGUUAUCUUGUAUUAUGAAGUUUUGGGCAUACCUCUUCCAGAAUUGGAAGGCCUAAAGAAAUUGAAACUUGCUUUCCAACAUGCAAUGACUGGUCAAGGGCGUUUCUGUUCCCGGCUAUCUUCUUCUGAUGCCAUUUUAUGUUCAUCUGGUUUUGUCUUGACCUCUUUAGUAAUGGUGUAUCCCUCUAUUUUAGGUUGUGAUUCAUUAUCUUUGGCCGCUGAAACAGAGCACUGUGGGAGACGGGCUCAACAAGCUCAAAAAGAAGAUCUUAACUCUCAGUGACAAGAUUGAGAACAUAAAUGAUCAGUACAGGACUUUACGUGCAGAAGAUGUAACCUGCCUUUCUAUUCAAUCCUAGAAGAGGAGAACCUUGGCCCCUUCCACCACGCGAUUCACGCUUAUCACUUCUGAAAAAAAACUGCUAAAAACCAGAUGCAAAUAAUAUGCAACUUUGGGGAACCAUUUCUAUUGGUCAUACAUGAAGGUGAGACGUUAGCACACAUCAAGGUCCGGAUGCAAAAGAAACUGCAGGUUCCAGCUGAGGAUAUCUCACGGUGGCGCUUUGCCUUCAUGUCGCUUGUGCUUUCCCCAGUAUCUCAAUGACUCUGAAAUCCUAUGGAACCAUUUCAAGAGAAAAGAUUCUUAUGAAGCUUGGGAGCAAUGCCGCGGCUUGCAGCAUCCCGAAUGCUCCCUAGAGGUCUUAUAAAGGUCUUAUACAGAAUUUGAUGAGAUACCAGUCACUAAGGACUUUCGCAUGCUUAGUUUCUCUUCUUCGCUUUUCAUGAUUGUUGCAUGCUACGUCGGUCUUAUAUCAUCGGAUGGGAAAGAAGGAAAAGGGAAACAGUGAGUUCGGACAAACCAUUUGUACCCUUGGCCAAAUUUGCAGAACUGUGCCAGCUAAAAGCCUGCCGACAUCUAGAACAAAGGUGAAACAGACGAUUGUUGAUAUUAUCGUAAAUUUCGAUGACACUCCCUAUAAUUUGUAAAAUGGCCAGCGAUACCCCCUUUCAGAAUUAGCCACACACCACCCCUUCUUUUGCCGAUUUCUACUAUUUUUUCUUAAAUCAAGUCAGAUUUGAUUCGGAUAAAUGAAUCAGAUAACCGGUCGAUUUGUGCAGUUCCGUGACAUGGGAUCCAUGUAGCAAAGUGAAUAUUCUCUUAGUGCCACGUCAGCGAAAGUAGGGGUGGGGAGUGGCUAAUUUUUUAAAAGAGAGGUGUCACUGACUAUUUCACAAACUAUAAGGAGCGUCGUCGAAAUUUACCCUUCAUAUUAAUGUGGAUUUAUUGAGAUGCUUAUGCAAUGUUCUUUUGAAACGAAGUUGUUGGGUUCAAUCAUCUCUCGUGGGACUUAUGUGCCACUUUA
Molecule: non-coding RNA, 3387 nt
Organism: Punica granatum (pomegranate)
Lineage: Eukaryota; Viridiplantae; Streptophyta; Magnoliopsida; Myrtales; Lythraceae
Source: RefSeq, a predicted model, not a curated record